CGCGGUAUAUUGACCGUGCAAAGGUAGCAUAAUCAUUAGUCUUUUAAUAGGAGGCUGGUAUGAAAGGUUUAACGAAACAUUAACUGUCUCAUUUAUAUAUUUGGAACUUAACUUUUAAGUUAAAAGGCUUAAAUUUAAUUGAUGGACGAGAAGACCCUAUAGAGCUUUACAAUAUUUAUUUUAAUAUUAUUUUGUUUUAUAAUUUAUUAUUAAUAUAAAUAUUGUUUUGUUGGGGUGACAAGAAAUAUAUAAUUAACUUUUUUAUUUUAUAAUCAUUGAUUUAUGUUUAUUAGAUCCAGUAAUUAUUGAUCAUUAGAUUAAGUUACCUUAGGGAUAACAGCGUAAUCUUCUUUUGGAGUUCAAAUUUACAGGAAGGCUUGCGACCUCGAUGUUGGAUUAAGAUAAUAAUUAGGUGCAGUAGCUUAAUUAAUAGGUCUGUUCGAC
This 444-nucleotide ribosomal RNA is filed under the name Teinobasis fortis. RNAcentral's name for it is "partial 16S ribosomal RNA". It matches the Rfam family "Bacterial large subunit ribosomal RNA", at positions 1932 to 2585 of the family's 2925-position model. The record is from RNAcentral. Lineage: Eukaryota; Metazoa; Arthropoda; Insecta; Odonata; Coenagrionidae.